This is a long non-coding RNA of Dipodomys ordii (Ord's kangaroo rat), 1450 nucleotides long. RefSeq lists it as uncharacterized. The record is from RefSeq and is a predicted model, not a curated record. NCBI's taxonomy places the organism in Eukaryota, Metazoa, Chordata, Mammalia, Rodentia, Heteromyidae. The transcript is spliced from 4 exons.
GCAGGGCUGAGUCAGUGCUUCCUGCAGGUGGGAACGGAGAUGUCAGCAGUGCCGAUGUCCCCGUGUCCACCACGGACACACCCGACUACUUGCUGAAAUACGCCGCCAUCUCCUCCUCGGAGCAGCGCCAGAGCUACAAGAACGACUUCAACGCAGAGUACAGCGAGUACCGCGAUCUGCACGCCCGCAUCGAGCAGAUCACACGCCGCUUCACGCAGCUCGAUGCCCAGCUGCGCCAGCUGGCCCAGGGCUCUGAGGAGUACGAGACCACUCGGGGACAGAUUUUACAGGAAUAUCGGAAAAUCAAGAAGACCAACACCAACUACAGCCAGGAGAAGCGGCGCUGCGAGUACCUGCACAGCAAGCUGGCGCACAUCAAGCAGCUCAUCGCCCAGUACGACCGGCGCCAGCUGCAGCCCUGGCCCUAGCCCGGCCUGCUCCCGCCCAGACUGGCCGCUGCCUUUUCUAGUUUUCUACCAAGUCAGCCACUUUGAGCUGCUGCGAAAGAGACUCCAGUCUAUUUUUGUACAAAAGAGAACGCAAAAUCUUUUCUAAACCUGUGCCUCCCUCCUUGGAUGCCCAGGUCCGGUGCCGCCGGCCCUUCUGCAGUGUUACGGCCUUGGUCCUGACCCGGGGCCCAGCGGGCCCACAGCCGGACCUGCCGUGCGGGGCCUUGGCCGCAGGUGACACAGGAGCCUGUGGGCCUCACUCCCAGCUCCUGCCCGCUUCACACUGGCCGGGCCACGGUCUCCCUUCUGCUGCCCCAGCUCUGCCCCUCUGUCCACACGUGGGCGGCGCCAUCCCGUGGAGUCACACAGGCCUUGCUCUCAGGGAGGGGUUGAGGGCCCCGGGGUGGGGUCUCGCCUGCCCUCUCUGGGGUGCGGGCUCUGUAACACCCGGUUGCUGCUUUGUUGCUGUGCCUAUUCCCCAUGUGCGUGAGUGUACGUGUGCAUGUGUGCGCGUGUGUGUAUGGGCCCUCCCUGAGCGCGGUUGGGAGCGUGUCCUGCUCAGGGCCCAGCCGGGACAGGAAUGCGGAGGGUCACACAGGCCGGGCCGCAGCCGGGGGAGGCCGGGCAGAUGCGAGCGGCGCUGUUUCUGUAACCCACGGGUGGCCCUGUGCCUUCCAGAGAGUGGGGGAGGCUUCCUCUCCAUCUGGCCACGCAGCUGGGAAGUUGUGCAGGCCCCCCUCUGCGGGCCCAGCUUGUUGGCCGAGAGCCAGGGCAACCCCACCGGGUUCUCCAUUGUCUGUCUCCUGUCAUGUCUGUCCGUCUACCGGUGACGCCAGCCGGUUCUGCUCUAACUUAUUUAGACUGUGGAGAACCCCCUUUGAGCCAUGACGCCGGGAUCCAGAGCCUUCACUUUGCCAAAUGUUACGGUGGAGCGCCGUGGGCACCGUCGCUUCCGGGGGUUUCUCUAAAGAUCAGCUACAAUAAACCGCCUGGACGCAGCA